This 77-nucleotide transfer RNA is filed under the name Bifidobacterium jacchi. Its description in RNAcentral is "tRNA-Met". It matches the Rfam family "tRNA". From Rfam's summary of the family: Transfer RNA (tRNA) molecules are approximately 80 nucleotides in length. The record is from RNAcentral. Lineage: Bacteria; Bacillati; Actinomycetota; Actinomycetes; Bifidobacteriales; Bifidobacteriaceae.
GGGGCUGUAGCUCAGUCGGUUAGAGCAUCGGACUCAUAAUCCGCCGGUCCAGGGUUCAAGCCCCUGCGGCCCCACGA